Molecule: ribosomal RNA, 497 nt
Filed under: uncultured bacterium
Lineage: Bacteria
Description: partial 16S ribosomal RNA
Rfam family: Bacterial small subunit ribosomal RNA
Source: RNAcentral
GAUGAACGCUGGCGGCGUGCCUAAUACAUGCAAGUCGAGCGAACAGACGAGGAGCUUGCUCCUCUGACGUUAGCGGCGGACGGGUGAGUAACACGUGGAUAACCUACCUAUAAGACUGGGAUAACUUCGGGAAACCGGAGCUAAUACCGGAUAAUAUAUUGAACCGCAUGGUUCAAUAGUGAAAGACGGUUUUGCUGUCUCUUAUAGAUGGAUCCGCGCCGCAUUAGCUAGUUGGUAAGGUAACGGCUUACCAAGGCGACGAUGCGUAGCCGACCUGAGAGGGUGAUCGGCCACACUGGAACUGAGACACGGUCCAGACUCCUACGGGAGGCAGCAGUAGGGAAUCGUCCGCAAUGGGCGAAAGCCUGACGGAGCAACGCCGCGUGAGUGAUGAAGGUCUUCGGAUCGUAAAACUCUGUUAUUAGGGAAGAACAAAUGUGUAAGUAACUAUGCACGUCUUGACGGUACCUAAUCAGAAAGCCACGGCUAACUACGUG